GGCCGGUCCAAAGGUAGUGAGUUGUCUCAAGUGAUUGUUCACAGUCAGUUACAGAUUGAACUCCCUGUUCUACACUUUCCCCCCGUCUCACUACUGCACUUGACUAGUCUUAA
Molecule: Y RNA, 113 nt
Filed under: Jaculus jaculus (lesser Egyptian jerboa)
Lineage: Eukaryota; Metazoa; Chordata; Mammalia; Rodentia; Dipodidae
Description: Y RNA (ENSJJAG00000007283.1)
Rfam family: Y RNA
About the family: Y RNAs are components of the Ro ribonucleoprotein particle (Ro RNP), in association with Ro60 and La proteins. The Y RNAs and Ro60 and La proteins are well conserved, but the function of the Ro RNP is not known.
Source: Rfam by way of RNAcentral